CAAUAACACAAUGGGUACUGGUAAAAACUAAAAUUACCGGUUGAGAAAGACCAUCAGACUUGAACAGGUUAAGACCUGCGUAAGAAUGUGUCCGAGUUUUAAU
This 103-nucleotide non-coding RNA is filed under the name Lactococcus lactis. RNAcentral's name for it is "TPP sequence". It matches the Rfam family "TPP riboswitch aptamer (THI element)". Rfam says of the family: Vitamin B(1) in its active form thiamin pyrophosphate (TPP) is an essential coenzyme that is synthesised by coupling of pyrimidine and thiazole moieties in bacteria. The record is from RNAcentral. RNAcentral also lists the same sequence under 1 other name. Lineage: Bacteria; Bacillati; Bacillota; Bacilli; Lactobacillales; Streptococcaceae.